Long non-coding RNA from Passer domesticus (house sparrow), 5001 nucleotides. RefSeq lists it as uncharacterized. Lineage: Eukaryota; Metazoa; Chordata; Aves; Passeriformes; Passeridae. The record is from RefSeq and is a predicted model, not a curated record. The transcript is spliced from 3 exons.
UGCAUUGCAGGAUGCAGAAGAACAAGGGGUGUAUUUAACACCAAUGUGGACCCAUCCUCCCAAACGCAGUUGUAGCAGUGUCCAAUACAAUGAAUUUUUGCAGUGUUUUGUUAGAAAAAACAGAGGAUGAGUUGCCAUUUACUACCACUCUGAGGAUAAAAAGCAGUGGGUUUGGGCCAUGAAAAUCAGGGGGCUUAAAGGAUAUAUCCAUGGAGUACAACCAGCAAGUAGUUGUUUAAGACAGCCUGCUGCUGGGACAGGCAAAUCAUGGCCUCAGGACAAGCUGGGAAGAAGAUCCUGUUCCCAGCAGUCUGCUGGCAGCAGCCCUGACUCCGUCCUGAGCUCCUGCAGGACUGAGGUGACUGUGGGUCCAGUGCCGGCGGCUGUGGCUGAGCAAGGAGGAGGAGAGCUCGGAGAGGCAGCUCUGACAGCAGGAGGUGAGGUGAAAGAGUAGGAGCCUGGCCUUUUCGUGACUCAGUAGCACUGAUUUGUUCAAAGAAGUAGCAGUUGGAAGGAGAGGGAGCAGAGCAGAUACAGCUGUGGGGUAGGAGGCCAAAGGAGAAGCAGGCAAGACAAGGGAAGACCACAGCUAGGAGACACAUUCAGCCAAGCCAGCUGCUCAUAUCGUGUUUUGGGGUUUCUUAAUUGAUUUUUACACUAACAGACAAGCUGAUUUUUUUUUUGGAUGUUUCUCUAGAACUGAGUCAUUUCCUGGGGUGGGGGGUGGGAAGAAAAUAGCGUUUUUCUUGAAGUUUUAAAACAGAGUUUUAGCGUUUGGAUUAAGGAUUCUUUCUUUGUUUAGUUAUUCUCUUUAUUUCACUGAAACAGUUAAAUUUUAAAAAGCAUAAAAACAAAAGCCAGCAGUUGACAACCCCUAAAUUUGUGCCAGAGCAGCUCUUUGCUCAGAUUGUCCAUACCAGGUAGCCCACAGCAGUGUAUGGGGUGGAGGCUGAGACAGCCAAAGCAGCCCAGCUCCAGACUGUCUUGUCAUCGUGUUCACCCGCAGAGGCUGAUGCUUUUUCCAGCUCCUGCACACGUCACGGGUGUUGGUGCCUGUCUGCUCCUCAGCACAGUGACCUUUCUUCUGGUUUACACAUCAAAAUUAACUGUUUUGGCAGCAGUUUCCAGUUCAGUGUGAGCCACGUGCACUAUAGUGGAUGUAGGGCAAAGCUGCCUAAAGCCACCAGAGCUUAUGUCUUGACCUGGGGAAGCCUAAUGUGAAACACUGGUGAGUCUGGAUCUUUUUUUGGCCAGAAAGCUGUAAAUACAAUGUGUUCAUUAAAUCUUAAAAGGACAUUUAAGAUUGCACUCAAGCUUAUUUGAUAGAGUUUAGAGCCUAAUUAAAAUGUAAGAGGCAAAUGGGCUACCAGUCUCGGAGCAGGUUUAUUUUUUUAAAUAAACAGGAGUUAACCACCUUGAAGGAGAAGUCACACCAUCCAGGAAGCUCCAAGCACCAACUUCACUCUGUCCUGUCUUGUCCGUGGACUGGGGACAGGAAAACCAUUGGCCAAGGUGAAAUGAACAGCAAAACUUCCAUUGACAUCAGUGGGUCCUGGAGUCAUGGCAUUUUUUUGUUUGUUUGGUACGCAUGUCCUAUAGUGGUUGGUUCCUGGAAUGCUGUGUGCGUGGUCUCUCAAUGGAGAAGGAGGCAAACAUUCCCUUUCAGAGUUAUUGCCUCUACGUCACACAGCUGGCUGCAGAGAGACCAUUGCUCUUGGCAUAAUUUAACUGGAAAUCAAACAGAGUCACUGCAGUUACCUCAGAUCCAGAAAGCUUUAUCUCACUGCACUGUUUAGCUGGUUAUCCUCCCUAAAUAGUGUGAAGUGGGAGAAAAGAAAGCUUUUAAAUGUGUGCUCAUUGAAUCCAGCAGGAAACCACAGAAGAUAUGUUGGGAUCAUGCACCAGCUUGAUCCAACUCUACCCUCAGUUUCUCAUGCCUUUCUUUCAAUGCUUGCAAGGACCCGUAGCACCACAUGAUGUGCAGAAACCUCUGGAAGUACAGACUAGCCUGGAGCACUGACCCUUGGAAGUCGACAGGCACAUGGUCAGCAGCAGGCAAUUGUAAAAUACAGCCUGGCCCUUGAAAACAGCUUGAUUUCUUAUCCUCAACAGAUGGUAUUAACCCAUUCUUAUCUAAACUGGUGAGCAGCAGUGAUUUAACAUUUUAAAACAAAAGGAAGCUAGAGAAUACUGAUGACUAAUUUCCUCCAAACAGCGUCAUAUGGGUCAUCUUCCUCGUGUGUUGUUUGUAUUGCUGAUUAGCCUUUAGGUAGAUAUUCAUAUAUCAACUAUUAUUUUCCGCUGUGAAUUGUGGUUUUCUGCCCAGCAGCAAGUCCAGUUUCCAGGGUAAUUGGGAAGCCAACUCCUUUCUAACUACGCAAAAGAUGAACUGUGUUUCCUGCAACUUUAAUGUCUCUAAUGUUAGUGGUUGAGUAAUAGCCGGACACAACAGUGUCUUCUGUAAGGAAAUAUGCCAAGAGCUGCUGCUUAGAAGUGAAUAAAACUUUUUUUUUCCUUUUUUUUUUCUUUUUUUAAAAAAAAGUGUUUUGAAUUAUUUGAAGCUGCAAAAACAGCCCUUUCCAAUCAAAGCUUAUCCUUCACAACAACAGGAUGCAUUGCUCUAUUUAAGCAAGUAAUAAUAUUGGUUUUAGUCACUGGACAUGCGUCGCUUCCUGUUGGAAGGAUUGCACAGAAAACUAAUUUAUUGUGUAUCAGAUCACUAAUUUAUUGUGUGUUUGGAGAAUUUAUAUACAGAGUUGUUUUUGAAUACCAUCUGUGUGUAAGAAAAUAUAUCUUUGGAAUAAGCCAGUGUGAUCUGUCUAUUGGCUGUACAACAUAAAACAAAUUAAGGUAAGCAGCCUCUGAAGGUCUGUGUUGCUCUGUUAGCAUUAGCAAAACCAUGAGUGUUUGGGGUCUCAAUGCUUCUGAUUUACAGUCAGAAAAAUUCAGUCACUAUCUGCUCAUUCUGGUUGUACAAGACCUUUCACCUAAAAACUCCCAGUUGCUUAAAAGGCAAUUACUGGGAGCAGUGGCAAAAUUUUGCCCAAGGACUUCUUCAUUGCCCCCUGCUAAUGAUCUGCUGGAAUUCUGCCUCUCCCAGAACAUAACCAUAGCAGAGUAAUUCUGAUGUCUGUCAUUGCUCCCUUACUUAUAUUAACAGUGUAUUUCAUGGCUAAUUUCUCAUCUUGCAGAGUUGGUUUCUCCACGUUAGGUUGUACUAAUGAAGUGAGAACAGAUUCUGAGCUCUCACUCUUCCAGGGGAAAAAGCCCAAACUUGGCUGAAAUUAAUGGAGUUGGUCUGCUUUGACCUGGCAUAAGGAGGAUCCUCGUCUGCCUUCAGCUCUGCAAUACUUGUCCUGCCAGCCAAGAAUGGCCUUGCUCAGGCUAAAAAGAGAUUGUUGGACCAGCAGAUACACAGAACAAUGAGCCAGUGUUGGACCACCUCGUGACAGUUCCUGCACUGCAGAAAUCACUUCAGAGCCCACAGGAGGCUGGUCCAGGAUGCAGCUCUGUCAUCAAUGCAAUCUCUGAAAGCCUUGCUGAUGUGAACCAGGCUGAGAGCUGUGGGAAGGAAGAGUUCAUCUCUUGAUAACCAGUGCACAAAGAUCUGUCAGCCUGAUCACAGCUCUGGAGGGUUUCGAGGCAUCAUCUCUUGUGGCAUUUGUGCAAUCCAGUCUUUAUUACCUGCUGACAAACAUGAGCACCAAACUCUUUUUGAUACGGAUAGAGUGAAAACAGUGUGAUAUUCCUGUGUCUUGGGAGAGUAAGAAAUGUGUGCUUAGCUAUAGGAUGGUGCUCAUCAAAUUUUGACUCACAGAAUAGUUCUAAUUACACCAUCAAUCCAUAUAGGAUUAAUACAUGAAAGCCCAGGCAGGGAAACAUAUGCUUUGGGGGGUUUAUCUUCAGCACAAGCCUCUAAUCUUUCCUCAGGAAAUUACCAUGUAUUUUAUCAGUGCCUUGGUGUUAAUUCUUAAAACCUAAAUACUUCAACCAAAAGGAACUGACCAUCUACCUUUUUUUCUUUCUUAUAAAUGUAGUUGUUGUUACCUCAUUAACUAUUUAGCAUCCUGGCAGGUUUGUGCAAUAAGCUGAGCUUGGCAGAACCACCAGGGUUGUAGCCCUGAAGGAAAAUGCCAUAGCUCUCCGUCUCUGAUACAUUUUGUUUAGCAGAGAUUUAAAAGCAGCAGUAACAGAACCGUAAUAAGAUAUAUUUGGCAAGAAGAUACAAAAUAACUAUUAAGCUGGUUUACAUCUGUUUCCUUUUUCAUUCAUUUUCCCUUCUCUAAUUACUUACUUAACAUCAAUCUGCUAUCACAGUAGCUUGGAUUAUUCUCUUUGGGUCUAGCCUCCACGUCACUGGAUUUCAUUGCUGCUGCUUCAUCGGUAAGUAAUGGGUCUCUUUGUAGUUACAGACCCGGACUCCUGCAGUCAAAGUGAUUAGCAGCACAUCUCUUUAAACACUCCUGUCACACAAAGGUGUGGAGAACAACGAGGCUUGCUCUGUAUUGCCAGCACUCACAUAUGUACAGUCGGAUAAUCACAUAUAACACAGUGUGAGAUUUUGGAAGAUGGGGGACAAAUCUGUGGAAAGCUUUAUACAUGCCAGGAAAAACUAUCUUUUGAGUAAGCACAUAUUCCCUGAAGUACCCCAUAUAUAUCAGCAGAUGUUGCAUCACAGGUUCAGCAACAAAAGGGAAAAGUUAUUUUUUCAUCGCACAGUAAAUAGUUUUUAUGGUUUGUUUUUUAUUUUCAGGUACUGUGAGUAAAAAAGAAAAUAAAUGUUCUCUUUGGAGGAAUGGUGAGAUUUGCUCCUGCCUGUCACGUUUCAAAGCUCAGGAGCAGAGGGCUGGCUCCUGGGAUGUGGGUUGGGCUAAGGCUGGCACUUUGCCCCACAGCAGUUGCAGCGUAAGGGGCUCCCAGGGAAACCUUCUCAGUCAUCCUGGCUGGCCAACAGCCAUGGCAGCAUUUGUUCUCUCUACACAAGAAGGGUUCUGAAAAUAA